UUAAAAAUUAAUACAUUCGUUCAGAAAUUUGAAUUUGGUUUGUAUUAAAAUACUAUAACAUAAAUAUAAUGUAAUAACAAAUUAUUAUAAUUACAAAAUAAUAAUAUUAUAAAACUUUUAUUAUUAUUACUUGAUACGACAACUGUAAAUAUUAAAAAAAAACUUUUAGGCAAUUGCAUGAAUAACAAUUUACUAUAGCAUACUUUUAGGAACUUAUCACACUAAAUAUCGCUCAUUUGCUGCAAGACCGGCAUAAAUGAAAAAACGUGAUUUUUGAGUUAAAGCUGCAGAAUUGUUCGUUAUAUCAUACUUCAUGUUGAGUGAAAAAUUCAUAUGAAUACCUCUUAUAUGCUCCGCUUGAGAAGAGGUGUAAGGUUGUUGUCACCGUGUAAGGUUGUAGUCAGUUGAAAACUUUAAACGCGUUUUCUGGAAAAUCGAUUUUUUUGACUUAU
Bactrocera dorsalis (oriental fruit fly) is the source of this 452-nucleotide long non-coding RNA. RefSeq lists it as uncharacterized. The record is from RefSeq and is a predicted model, not a curated record. The transcript is spliced from 2 exons. NCBI's taxonomy places the organism in Eukaryota, Metazoa, Arthropoda, Insecta, Diptera, Tephritidae.